AUUAGAGUUUGAUCCCNGNUCAGGAUGAAUCGCAGGCGGCGUGCGUAAUACAUGCAACUCGAGCGGACAGAUGGGAGCUUGCUCCCUGAUGUUAGCGGCGGACGGGUGAGUAACAUGUGGGUAACCUCCCUGUAAGAGUGGGAUAACUCCGGGAAACCGGGGCUAAUACCGGAUGGUUGUUUGAACCGCAUGGUUCAAACAUAAAAGGUGGCUUCGGCUACCACUUACAGACGGACCCGCGCGCAUUAGCUAGUUGGUGAGGUAACGGCUCACCAAGGAAACGAUGCGUAGCCGACCUGAGAGGGUGAUCGGCCACAAUGGGAUCUGAGACACGGCCCAGACUCCUACGGGAGGCAGCAGUAGGGAAUCUUCCGCAAUGGACGAAAGUCUCACGGAGCAACGCCGACGUGAGCGAUGAAGGUUUUCCGGAUCNGUAAAGCUCCUGUUGUUAGGGAAGAAACAAGUAGCCGUUNCGAAUAGGGCGUCACCCUUGAGCGUACCAACCAGAA
Molecule: ribosomal RNA, 509 nt
Filed under: marine sediment bacterium ISA-3229
Lineage: Bacteria
Description: bacterial SSU rRNA
Rfam family: Bacterial small subunit ribosomal RNA
Source: RNAcentral